Molecule: non-coding RNA, 73 nt
Organism: Podarcis lilfordi (Lilford's wall lizard)
Lineage: Eukaryota; Metazoa; Chordata; Lepidosauria; Squamata; Lacertidae
Source: the annotation of a GenBank genome assembly
ACACAGAUAGCUCAGUCGGUAGAGCAUGGGGCAGUUAAUCACAGGGUUGUGGGUUUGAGCCCCAUGUUGGGUG